RNAcentral lists this ribosomal RNA (586 nucleotides) under uncultured bacterium. RNAcentral describes it as "bacterial SSU rRNA". It matches the Rfam family "Bacterial small subunit ribosomal RNA", at positions 339 to 916 of the family's 1533-position model. The record is from RNAcentral.
CUACGGGAGGCAGCAGUAGGGAAUCUUCCGCAAUGGACGAAAGUCUGACGGAGCAACGCCGCGUGAACGAUGAAGGCCUUCGGGUCGUAAAGUUCUGUUGUCAGGGAAGAACAAGUACCGGAGUAACUGCCGGUACCUUGACGGUACCUGACCAGAAAGCCACGGCUAACUACGUGCCAGCAGCCGCGGUAAUACGUAGGUGGCAAGCGUUGUCCGGAAUUAUUGGGCGUAAAGCGCGCGCAGGUGGUUCCUUAAGUCUGAUGUGAAAGCCCACGGCUCAACCGUGGAGGGUCAUUGGAAACUGAGGGACUUGAGUGCAGAAGAGGAAAGCGGAAUUCCACGUGUAGCGGUGAAAUGCGUAGAGAUGUGGAGGAACACCAGUGGCGAAGGCGGCUUUCUGGUCUGUAACUGACGCUGAGGCGCGAAAGCGUGGGGAGCAAACAGGAUUAGAUACCCUGGUAGUCCACGCCGUAAACGAUGAGUGCUAAGUGUUAGAGGGUUUCCGCCCUUUAGUGCUGCAGCAAACGCAUUAAGCACUCCGCCUGGGGAGUACGGCCGCAAGGCUGAAACUCAAAGGAAUUGACGG